Molecule: ribosomal RNA, 229 nt
Filed under: uncultured bacterium
Lineage: Bacteria
Description: partial 16S ribosomal RNA
Rfam family: Bacterial small subunit ribosomal RNA
Source: RNAcentral
CGGGGUGAGUAAUGUCUGGGAAACUGCCUGAUGGAGGGGGAUAACUACUGGAAACGGUAGCUAAUACCGCAUAACAUCGCAAGACCAAAGAGGGGGACCUUCGGGCCUCUUGCCAUCGGAUGUGCCCAGAUGGGAUUAGCUAGUAGGUGGGGUAACGGCUCACCUAGGCGACGAUCCCUAGCUGGUCUGAGAGGAUGACCAGCCACACUGGAACUGAGACACGGUCCAG